This 253-nucleotide ribosomal RNA is filed under the name uncultured bacterium. Its description in RNAcentral is "partial 16S ribosomal RNA". It matches the Rfam family "Bacterial small subunit ribosomal RNA", at positions 524 to 776 of the family's 1533-position model. The record is from RNAcentral.
UGCAGAGGUCCCAAGCGUUGUUCGGAUUCACUGGGCGUAAAGGGUGCGUAGGUGGUGAGGUAAGUCGGAUGUGAAAUCUCCGAGCUCAACUCGGAAACUGCAUUGGAAACUACCUUGCUAGAGGGUUGGAGGGGGGACUGGAAUGCUUGGUGUAGCAGUGAAAUGCGUAGAUAUCAAGCGGAACACCAGUGGCGAAGGCGAGUCCCUGGACAACUCCUGACACUGAGGCACGAAAGCUAGGGGAGCAAACAGG